CUUUGCCACAUCAGUAGCCUCAGAAAGUUUUCUUGAUCUCCUUGCAUCUGGUCAGUGUUAAUAUGGAUCAAAAUAAAGACUUGUUUACACAGUACAUAUGUAUUUGUAUUUUACCUUAAGAAUGAAAGCAGAGGUUACAGCAGCCCAACUAUAUCUGGAUUUUUCAAGCAAGUGCUAGCCUGAUGCCUCUCUGUAAUGCAUUUUUUUCACUCAUUCAUCUUUUUUACCUGUCAGAGAAAUCUAGUGGACAUGGUUGUAAAGUGCAAAGAUCAUAUGAAGGGUCAGCACAAAGCUUAGAACAAUUUUGUAAAACCAUUGCAAAAUAUCACCUUUGCAUUUUAAACUGGUAAGUAUGUGACUGUAAGUCUUCUGGCAGAUCUCUCAAGUCUAUUAUUAGUAAUAUGUUGUGCUCUUUGCAGUGUGUCUGUGCUCAGACAUGUCUCCCAUGUUCACCUUACCUGCCACUCCAGACUCUCCUAGGAGUGCUUUUAUGCUCUCACAGCUCUGAGUCCACUGACAAAGGCCACAGAAAAUGGAGCUUUGUCACCCACUGCAACAUCUAUGGAUGUGAGCUGGGCUCCUCAACUUUGUGCAUCAUGGAUACCCCUCUGGCUUUUCUCUGGAGAGGUGAAAUAGAGCUUCUGGAAGCGAUAGGUUGGAGGUCACUAGAGAACAACAGGUUGAGUUUGAACAACCUCUUUGCAGAAGAGUAA
RNAcentral lists this long non-coding RNA (713 nucleotides) under Cyanistes caeruleus (blue tit). RNAcentral describes it as "lncRNA (ENSCCEG00000013153.1)". The record is from RNAcentral. Lineage: Eukaryota; Metazoa; Chordata; Aves; Passeriformes; Paridae.